Long non-coding RNA from Ictalurus punctatus (channel catfish), 1282 nucleotides. The record is from Ensembl. NCBI's taxonomy places the organism in Eukaryota, Metazoa, Chordata, Actinopteri, Siluriformes, Ictaluridae.
CUGGCUCAGGCAGUACGGGGUGACCCUUCUAAACACACUGGGCAGAAUUUAACAACAGAAAAGAUAGACAGAUAGAUCCAUAAAUGGAUGGAAAGAUGGAUAGAUGGAUAGAUCGAUAAAUAGAUAUAUAUAGAUAGAUAGACAGAUAGAUAGAUAUGGAUAGAUUGAUAGAUAGAUAGAUAGAUUGAUAGAUAGAUAUAUAGAUAGAUUGAUAGAUAGACCAAUUGAUAAAUAGAUAGAUAGAUAGAUAAAUAGAUUGAUAGAUAGAUAGAUUGAUAGAUAGAUAGAUAGAUAGAUAGACGGAUAGAUAGAUUGAUAGAUAGAUGGAUAAAUAGAUAGAUAGACGGAUAAAUAGAUAGAUAGAUUGAUAGAUAGAUAGACGGAUAAAUAGAUAGAUAGAUAGAUAGACGGAUAAAUAGAUAGAUAGAUUGAUAGAUAGAUAGAUAGAUAGAUAGACGGAUAAAUAGAUGGAUAAAUAGAUAGAUAGAUAGAUAGAUAGACGGAUGGAUAGAUAGAUGGAUAGAUGGAUAGAUAGAUAGAUGGAUAGAUGGAUAGAUUAAAGCAUAGAUAUGCUUCUCUAUUUGACACAGCAUUAUCAUUACAGAAUGUGUAUCUAAGAAGAGAGGCACUGCCUGAGCUCUGUGGAUGGCAUGAACACUGGGGCGUGGUGCCGUUCCGGGGAAAUCAUCAGUGUUCGUGUGGUGUGAUGAAGUUCAUUAUUUCUCAGCAGCACAUCCUGAGAGAGUUCAUCGCUCUCACAGCACGGCAAUAUGCCAGCAGCUCCAAUUUGUUUUAUUUUAUUACAGAUGAGACUUUGCAGCUUUUUUUCUUUUAAGGAAGGAAGGAAGGAAGAAGUGUGUUAUAAACCGUCCGCUAUAAAGCGUCCAUCCCUCACCGGCCUCCUGUUUCUCUCUCUAAGACUUACAGAAUCUUCACCCUACCAGCGAUUCCACAUUUCUUCUCGGUUGAGUAAACAACGCAGUCUGUAAGUCACUUGAUUAUCAGGCUUGGAUGAUGUGGAGUGUGCGACAUACUCACAUGUCCCUGUGAACGAGCUGUUACUAUAGAAACAAUAACAAAAUUAGACCGAGCGCAUCCGACACAUAAUCCUGUGAUCUGAAUUACAGCUGAACUGCUGUCACUUCUGCUGUUAGAGAAAAUUCAUCUACAGCUUCUGACCAAUCAGGACCAAGAAUACAACAGCGCCGUGGUACAAUUUACAUCAUUUGUAUGUUUACACACAGCGCCCUCCGCUAAUAUCGGCACCCGUGGUAAAUAUGAG